Thalassophryne amazonica is the source of this 247-nucleotide long non-coding RNA. RefSeq lists it as uncharacterized. The transcript has 3 exons. NCBI's taxonomy places the organism in Eukaryota, Metazoa, Chordata, Actinopteri, Batrachoidiformes, Batrachoididae. The record is from RefSeq and is a predicted model, not a curated record.
ACUUGCCAACGUGCUGGAUGCUGUUUUCAAGCCUGAACUUCGCUGAUCCAGAGCAGUCUUUCUACAAACAUGUCUGAAGUCCAGAAACUGGGGGACAUGUUGAAACUGCAGCUAACAUCUGCUGACGAAGGAAUGAUCGCAGACCAGGAAGAAGAAAUGUGUCAUUUAAAAGAAGAGAACAAAAGAGACAUGCAGCCGUUGUUGGUGAUUAAAGAAGAAUUUCUUCCUGAACACCAGGAAUGGAAUC